CAGUGCCACGGUAAUACGGAGGGUGCAAGCGUUAUCCGGAUUUAUUGGGUUUAAAGGGUCCGUAGGCGGACUUAUAAGUCAGUGGUGAAAGCCUGUCGCUUAACGAUAGAACUGCCAUUGAUACUGUAAGUCUUGAGUAUAUUUGAGGUAGCUGGAAUAAUUAGUGUAGCGGUGAAAUGCAUAGAUAUUACUUAGAACACCAAUUGCGAAGGCAGGUUACCAAGAUAUAACUGACGCUGAGGGACGAAAGCGUGGGUAGCGAACAGGAUUAGAGACCCCUGUAGUCCCUGUCUCUUAUACA
This 301-nucleotide ribosomal RNA is filed under the name uncultured bacterium. Its description in RNAcentral is "partial 16S ribosomal RNA". It matches the Rfam family "Bacterial small subunit ribosomal RNA", at positions 509 to 808 of the family's 1533-position model. The record is from RNAcentral.